This 460-nucleotide long non-coding RNA is filed under the name Equus caballus (horse). RNAcentral's name for it is "lncRNA (ENSECAG00000044661.1)". Lineage: Eukaryota; Metazoa; Chordata; Mammalia; Perissodactyla; Equidae. The record is from RNAcentral.
ACGUGUUUGUGUGCUUGGAGGUUACUAUUGCAUCAAAUGCUUUCCCGCAUGACACCAUCCCACUACCAACUGCUCCCAUUAGCCUUCCAACUCACCUCCGUUAUCUGCAAGACUAUCUGCCCACUUCGGCAGUCACACAUCUGCUAGCUGAUCUCCUGAAAAUGCAGUUUGACCACGUUCAUUCCAAAACUACAGGACAUCCACCACGUGCCAGGCCUUCAGACUCAGACUGGGAGUUACAGCAUCAGCUCCUAUGGUUCUCAAGCCUUUGGACCCAGACUAAACCACACCAUUGGCUUUCCUGAGUCUCCAGCUUGCAAACAGCAGAUCAUGAUGGAUCUGAAAAAGGAAGGGAGAAGAGAUGAAACGAGAUGGCCAGUGCUGAAGUUAAGCGACAUAUACCACUCUCUUUGAGUUCGAUAUACCAAUCUUUUAACUUUUGCAUUAUGUUUGAAAUGUU